Molecule: ribosomal RNA, 464 nt
Filed under: uncultured bacterium
Lineage: Bacteria
Description: SSU rRNA
Rfam family: Bacterial small subunit ribosomal RNA
Source: RNAcentral
AGGAUUAACGCUGGCGGCGUGCCUAACACAUGCAAGUCGAACGAGGUAGCAAUACCUAGUGGCAGACGGGUGAGUAGCGCGUGGUCAACCUACCGUUGAGUGGGGGAUAACUAGCCGAAAGGUUAGCUAAUACCGCAUACGUCUCCGAGGGGCAUCCCUUGGCGAUAAAAGGAGCAAUCCGCUCGAUGACGGGACCGCGUCCCAUUAGCUAGUUGGUGGGGUAACGGCCUACCAAGGCAUCGAUGGGUAGCUGGUUUGAGAGAGCGACCAGCCACACUGGGACUGAGAUACGGCCCAGACUCCUACGGGAGGCAGCAGUGAGGAAUUUUCCGCAAUGGGCGAAAGCCUGACGGAGCGACGCCGCGUGUGGGAAGAAGGCCUUCGGGUCGUAAACCGACUGUCGGAAGGGGAAGAUAAUGACGGUACCUUGGAGGAAGCCCGGCUAACUACGUGCCAGCAGCCGC